UGGGAAUUUUGGACAAUGGGGCAACCCUGAUCCAGCAAUGCCGCGUGUGUGAAAAGGCCUUCGGGUUGUAAAGCACUUUUGUCCGGAAAGAAAACGUCGUGGUUAAUACCCGUGGCGGCUGACGGUACCGGAAGAAUAAGCACCGGCUAACUACGUGCCAGCAGCCGCGGUAAUACGUAGGGUGCAAGCGUUAAUCGGGAUUACUGGGCGUAAAGCGUGCGCAGGCGGUCCGCUAAGACAGAUGCGAAAUCCCCGGGCUUAACCUGGGAACUGCAUUUGUGACUGGCGGGCUAGAGUAUGGCAGAGGGGGGUUAGAAUUCCACGUGUAGCAGUGAAAUGCGUAGAGAUGUGGAGGAAUACCGAUGGCGAAGGCAGCCCCCUGGGCCAAUACUGACGCUCAUGCACGAAAGCGUGGGGGAGCAAACAGGAUUAGAUACCCUGGUAGUCCACGCCCUAAACGAUGUCAACUAGUUGUGGGGAUUCAUUUCCUUAGUAACGUAGCUAACCGCGUGAAGUUGACCGCCUGGGGAGUAACGGUCGCAAGAUUUAAAAACUC
This 556-nucleotide ribosomal RNA is filed under the name uncultured bacterium. Its description in RNAcentral is "partial 16S ribosomal RNA". It matches the Rfam family "Bacterial small subunit ribosomal RNA", at positions 356 to 902 of the family's 1533-position model. The record is from RNAcentral.